UAUCAACAGAGCAAGCUUGGCAUCCUCCACGCCGUCAGCUUGACACAGAGCAUACGCCGCACAGACUGGCCUUUGGGUCUUGUAAUCAGCA
This 91-nucleotide non-coding RNA is filed under the name Palpitomonas bilix. The record is from RNAcentral.